UACGUAGGGUGCGAGCGUUAAUCGGAAUUACUGGGCGUAAAGGGUGCGCAGGCGGCGUCGCAAGUCAGGCGUGAAAUCCCCGGGCUUAACCUGGGAACUGCACUUGAAACUACGAUGCUGGAGUAUGGCAGAGGGAGGUGGAAUUCCACGUGUAGCGGUGAAAUGCGUAGAGAUGUGGAGGAACACCGAUGGCGAAGGCAGCCUCCUGGACCAAUACUGACGCUGAGGAGCGAAAGCCAGGGGAGCAAACGGG
This 253-nucleotide ribosomal RNA is filed under the name uncultured bacterium. RNAcentral's name for it is "partial 16S ribosomal RNA". It matches the Rfam family "Bacterial small subunit ribosomal RNA", at positions 524 to 776 of the family's 1533-position model. The record is from RNAcentral.